RNAcentral lists this ribosomal RNA (596 nucleotides) under uncultured eukaryote. RNAcentral describes it as "bacterial SSU rRNA". It matches the Rfam family "Eukaryotic small subunit ribosomal RNA", at positions 4 to 565 of the family's 1831-position model. The record is from RNAcentral.
CUGGUUGAUGGCCCGCAGUCAUAUGCUUGUCUUUAAGAUUAAGCCAUGCAAGCCUAAGGAUAAAUAUUUUAUUCGUGAACCUGCAAAUAGCUCAUUAAAUCAGUUAUAAUCUACUCGAUCAUAUCCUUACUUGGAUAACCGUAGUAAUUCUAGGGCUAAUACAUGCAAAAAGCCUAAACUGGGGAAACUCGGAAUGGGUGUACGUAUUGGAUCCCAAAAUCAAUACAAGGUAUCUAAACUGCAGUUUAUUUCACGAUUUGCUGUGGGCUUUGUUUAAUCUGUCGAAACACAAUAAAUUUACAAAUCACAAAUCUAAUUUGUGAUGAUUUGAACGAGUUUCUGCCCUAUCAACUUUCGAUGGUAAGGUAUUUGCUUACCAUGGUAUUGACGGGUACGGGGAAUUUGGGUUUGAUUCCGGAGAAAAGGCCUGAGAGACGGCCAUUACUUCCAAGGAAGGCAGCAGGCGCGUAAUUUGCCCAAUGUCAAUUCGACGAGGCAGUGACGAGAAAUACCGAUAUUGGUUCCUACGGAAACAAUUAUUGGAAUGAGAACAAUUUAAAUACAUUAGCGACUAACUAUUGGAGGGCAAGUCUGGU